Long non-coding RNA from Gadus morhua (Atlantic cod), 184 nucleotides. RefSeq lists it as uncharacterized. The transcript is spliced from 2 exons. The record is from RefSeq and is a predicted model, not a curated record. Lineage: Eukaryota; Metazoa; Chordata; Actinopteri; Gadiformes; Gadidae.
CCAGAUGCUGGGAACUCCAAGAAGCCUGAGUGAGACGUCUCCAGGCUGACUGAUCCAUUCCAGUCUUCCUCAUUCUUCAUCGCCAUGACAACCGCCUGUCUCUGAUGCCUCUCAACACCAUCUCCUCUUUCUUCAGCUGGGACACACACAUACACACACACACACACACACACACACACACACA